RNAcentral lists this transfer RNA (74 nucleotides) under Candidatus Kerfeldbacteria bacterium. RNAcentral describes it as "tRNA-Lys". It matches the Rfam family "tRNA". From Rfam's summary of the family: Transfer RNA (tRNA) molecules are approximately 80 nucleotides in length. Their secondary structure includes four short double-helical elements and three loops (D, anti-codon, and T loops). The record is from RNAcentral. Lineage: Bacteria; Candidatus Kerfeldiibacteriota.
GGGCGCAUAGCUCAGCUGGUUAGAGCAGUUGCCUCUUAAGCAAUUGGUCGAAGGUUCGAAUCCUUCUGCGCCCA